Molecule: transfer RNA, 64 nt
Filed under: Coleoptera sp. 8 KM-2017
Lineage: Eukaryota; Metazoa; Arthropoda; Insecta; Coleoptera
Description: tRNA-Pro
Source: RNAcentral
CAAGAAAUAGUUUAAUUAAAAUAGUAAUUUUGGAGAUUAUAGAUGGGGGAUUCUCUUUUCUUGA